RNAcentral lists this long non-coding RNA (153 nucleotides) under Amphimedon queenslandica. Its description in RNAcentral is "uncharacterized LOC109592245, transcript variant X1". The record is from RNAcentral. Lineage: Eukaryota; Metazoa; Porifera; Demospongiae; Haplosclerida; Niphatidae.
AGCCAUUCAAAGAAGAGCUGAUGUCAUUACAGAAUUUAUAGAGGCUGCCAUACACUCCAUACUGUAUGUCAGAGGAGUUUAUCCAGCAGCUAUUUUUAAACCCAGAAGAAAAUAUGGGACAACAGUUCAUGUGAGUUUUUUAUAACUAUGCGU